Molecule: ribosomal RNA, 53 nt
Filed under: Fusarium acuminatum
Lineage: Eukaryota; Fungi; Ascomycota; Sordariomycetes; Hypocreales; Nectriaceae
Description: partial 18S ribosomal RNA
Source: RNAcentral
UGGAAGUAAAAGUCGUAACAAGGUCUCCGUUGGUGAACCAGCGGAGGGAGAUU